RNAcentral lists this transfer RNA (73 nucleotides) under Rhizobium lentis. RNAcentral describes it as "tRNA-Arg". Lineage: Bacteria; Pseudomonadati; Pseudomonadota; Alphaproteobacteria; Hyphomicrobiales; Rhizobiaceae. The record is from RNAcentral.
GCGCAGCUCAGCUGGAUACAGUGUCGGAUUCCGAUUCCAAAGGUCACAGGUUCGAAUCGCGUCGGGUGCGCCA